Lupinus angustifolius (narrow-leaved blue lupine) is the source of this 75-nucleotide small nucleolar RNA. It matches the Rfam family "Small nucleolar RNA SNORD18". From Rfam's summary of the family: U18 is a member of the C/D class of snoRNA which contain the C (UGAUGA) and D (CUGA) box motifs. It is encoded in introns of ribosomal protein L1 in Xenopus and human, and in introns of elongation factor 1 beta in yeast. Lineage: Eukaryota; Viridiplantae; Streptophyta; Magnoliopsida; Fabales; Fabaceae. The record is from Rfam.
GAGAGAUGAUGAUUUUCCAUUGGUCCGUGUUUCUGAAUUUACCGUGACCGAUAACUUUUUCCAAUUUCUGAUCUC